This 428-nucleotide ribosomal RNA is filed under the name Bacteroidota bacterium. Its description in RNAcentral is "Bacteroidetes bacterium partial 16S ribosomal RNA". It matches the Rfam family "Bacterial small subunit ribosomal RNA", at positions 355 to 776 of the family's 1533-position model. Lineage: Bacteria; Pseudomonadati; Bacteroidota. The record is from RNAcentral.
UAGGGAAUCUUCCGCAAUGGGCGAAAGCCUGACGGAGCAACGCCGCGUGAGUGAUGAAGGUCUUCGGAUCGUAAAACUCUGUUAUUAGGGAAGAACAAAUGUGUAAGUAACUAUGCACGUCUUGACGGUACCUAAUCAGAAAGCCACGGCUAACUACGUGCCAGCAGCCGCGGUAAUACGUAGGUGGCAAGCGUUAUCCGGAAUUAUUGGGCGUAAAGCGCGCGUAGGCGGGUAAGCAAGUUAGAAGUGAAAUCCUGUAGCUCAACUACAGUAAGCUUUUAAAACUGCUCAUCUUGAGAUAUGGAAGGGAAAGUGGAAUUCCUAGUGUAGCGGUGAAAUGCGCAGAUAUUAGGAGGAAUACCGGUGGCGAAGGCGACUUUCUGGCCAUAAUCUGACGCUGAGGUACGAAAGCGUGGGUAGCAAACAGG